AUACGGAGGGUGCGAGCGUUAAUCGGAAUUACUGGGCGUAAAGCGUGCGUAGGCGGUUUGCUAAGUCAGAUGUGAAAGCCCCGGGCUUAACCUGGGAACUGCAUUUGAUACUGGCAGACUAGAGUAUGAUAGAGGGGGGUAGAAUUCCUGGUGUAGCGGUGAAAUGCGUAGAUAUCAGGAGGAAUACCAGUGGCGAAGGCGGCCCCCUGGAUCAAUACUGACGCUGAGGUACGAAAGCGUGGGGAGCGAACAGGAGUAGAAACCCUAGUAGUCC
RNAcentral lists this ribosomal RNA (274 nucleotides) under uncultured bacterium. RNAcentral's name for it is "partial 16S ribosomal RNA". It matches the Rfam family "Bacterial small subunit ribosomal RNA", at positions 523 to 796 of the family's 1533-position model. The record is from RNAcentral.